GUUUUCACUGUAGUAUCCACUAAACCGUUUGAACCCUAGGACGUAUCUAUAUUUAUUAGAUACAUAUCCUCUUUCGAGAUAAGGAAAGAGAAGAGAGAAGUUAGGGCUGCAACUCUUUAAAGAGUGACUUUGCAAUAUGGGUGGAACACUAAAGCAUCACAUUCACAAAACAUAUAAUUAGAAGAAAAAAAGUGUUCUGCCGACACUACUGGCAAAAAAUCUAGUAGAUUUUUGAGCACCUCAGAAGCUGCUGACAACAGGAGGCCUUCUGCCGAUGCUACUGGCAAUCUACUGUUAAAACCUACAGUUGAAGAAGAUACGGAACUAGAACAUUCGGAGAAGAUAGCUAUAGCUAAAGCCAAACCUGAGUUUGAUGCUGAGAACACUAAAUUAAUGAAAGCUAUGGCAAAACUUAAGCGCCGUGACUCUGAAGAAUCUGAUGAAAAAGAGGACCAGAUUAAUGAAGGCCAGAUUUUUAGGGAGAUCUCCAAUUGUAGUAAGGAAAGCACAAAGGCCCUAUUGAAGUAUUGUGACGCUCGUAUGAGACGUUAUAAAAUGUUUGAAUGUCCGAUUGCGGCUCAAACAGAGAGAUCCAAUGGUACUCAAUCUAGGGAUUAAUGGGGAAGCAGAAAGGCUUGCACCUUGCUGGAAAGCUGUUGAGGGAUUGCAAGGCACUGGUGGACAUCAUCUCUGACAAACAGUUGGUUAUCUGCAGGAGCAAGGCUAUAUUAAAUAUUUUCUUUGCGUAGUUAGUAGUACCUGGAGUAGUAAUAUGAACUUGAUUUUUGUUUUUUUGAUUAGUUAAAGUAACUCCUUAUCAAACUUGAGUUCUAAGAUCAGAACUGUGUAGUAGAGUCUAAAAUUGUUGGUUGUGGGGAUGACUUUUUUUGGUUAUAUAGUAUUGUUUGUUAUUUAAA
Long non-coding RNA from Papaver somniferum (opium poppy), 917 nucleotides. RefSeq lists it as uncharacterized. The record is from RefSeq and is a predicted model, not a curated record. The transcript has 3 exons. Lineage: Eukaryota; Viridiplantae; Streptophyta; Magnoliopsida; Ranunculales; Papaveraceae.